RNAcentral lists this long non-coding RNA (354 nucleotides) under Pan troglodytes (chimpanzee). RNAcentral describes it as "long non-coding RNA NONPTRT010360". Lineage: Eukaryota; Metazoa; Chordata; Mammalia; Primates; Hominidae. The record is from RNAcentral.
CUCCAGGGAUGCAGCUAACAUGCACACUGGCUCUGUUCUUGCAGCCUGGUGAGGGAAGGGUGUCGGCAGGUACUGAUGGCCCUGUAGGGGUGUUAGAGUGUCAUCAAGAAACAGACACGGCUGGCCAGGCAUGGUGGCUCACACCUGUAAUCCCAGCGCUUUGGGAGGCCAAGGUGCGUGGAUCACAUGAGGUCAGGAGUUCAAGACCAGCCUCGCCAACAUGGCGAAACCCUGUCUCUACUAAAACUACAAAAAAUUAGCCAGGCAUGGUGGUGCAUGCCUGUAAUCCCAGCUACUUGGGAGGCUGCUCUGCCUGGACCCCACUUCUGCCUGCCAGCGUAGCAUCUCCACCUA